Molecule: small nuclear RNA, 165 nt
Filed under: Salmo salar (Atlantic salmon)
Lineage: Eukaryota; Metazoa; Chordata; Actinopteri; Salmoniformes; Salmonidae
Description: U2 spliceosomal RNA (ENSSSAG00000063165.2, ENSSSAG00020068565.1, ENSSSAG00070003893.1, ENSSSAG00075016839.1)
Rfam family: U2 spliceosomal RNA
About the family: U2 is a small nuclear RNA (snRNA) component of the spliceosome (involved in pre-mRNA splicing). Complementary binding between U2 snRNA (in an area lying towards the 5' end but 3' to hairpin I) and the branchpoint sequence (BPS) of the intron results the bulging out of an unpaired adenosine, on the BPS, which initiates a nucleophilic attack at the intronic 5' splice site, thus starting the first of two transesterification reactions that mediate splicing.
Source: Rfam by way of RNAcentral
AAACCUUUUCAAAAGAAAAAAUCUGUUCUCAUUAGUUUAAUAUCUGAUACAUGGGGAGCAUAUAUUAAAUAGAUUUUUGGAACAGGGAGAUGGAAUAGAGGCUUGCUCCGUCCACUCCACGCAUGGACCUGGUAUUGCAGUACCUCCAGGAAUGGUGCACCCCCU